RNAcentral lists this ribosomal RNA (468 nucleotides) under uncultured bacterium. Its description in RNAcentral is "partial 16S ribosomal RNA". It matches the Rfam family "Bacterial small subunit ribosomal RNA", at positions 28 to 507 of the family's 1533-position model. The record is from RNAcentral.
GACGAACGCUGGCGGCGUGCUUAACACAUGCAAGUCGAACGGAAAGGCCCUGCUUUUGUGGGGUGCUCGAGUGGCGAACGGGUGAGUAACACGUGAGUAACCUGCCCUUGACUUUGGGAUAACUUCAGGAAACUGGGGCUAAUACCGGAUAGGAGCUCCUGCUGCAUGGUGGGGGUUGGAAAGUUUCGGCGGUUGGGGAUGGACUCGCGGCUUAUCAGCUUGUUGGUGGGGUAGUGGCUUACCAAGGCUUUGACGGGUAGCCGGCCUGAGAGGGUGACCGGCCACAUUGGGACUGAGAUACGGACCAGACUCCUACGGGAGGCAGCAGUGGGGAAUAUUGCACAAUGGGCGGAAGCCUGAUGCAGAAACGCCGCGUGCGGGAUGACGGCCUUCGGGUUGUAAACCGCUUUCGCCUGUGACGAAGCGGGAGUGACGGUAAUGGGUAAAGAAGCACCGGCUAACUACGUG